UACCGAGUUUACAACUCCCAAACCCAAUGUGCUUGUUACCAAACUGUUGCCUCGGCGGGAUCUCUGCCCCGGGUGCGUCGCAGCCCCGGACCAAGGCGCCCGCCGGAGGACCAACCAAAACUCUUUUUGUAUACCCCCUCGCGGGUUUUUUAUAAUCUGAGCCUUCUCGGCGCCUCUCGUAGGCGUUUCGAAAAUGAAUCAAAACUUUCAACAACGGAUCUCUUGGUUCUGGCAUCGAUGAAGAACGCAGCGAAAUGCGAUAAGUAAUGUGAAUUGCAGAAUUCAGUGAAUCAUCGAAUCUUUGAACGCACAUUGCGCCCGCCAGUAUUCUGGCGGGCAUGCCUGUCCGAGCGUCAUUUCAACCCUCGAACCCCUCCGGGGGGUCGGCGUUGGGGAUCGGCCCUGCCUCUUGGCGGUGGCCGUCUCCGAAAUACAGUGGCGGUCUCGCCGCAGCCUCUCCUGCGCAGUAGUUUGCACACUCGCAUCGGGAGCGCGGCGCGUCCACAGCCGUUAAACACCCAACUUCUGAAAUGUUGACCUCGGAUCAGGUAGGAAUACCCGCUGAACUUAAGCAU
Molecule: ribosomal RNA, 575 nt
Filed under: Hypocreomycetidae sp. RRII1
Lineage: Eukaryota; Fungi; Ascomycota; Sordariomycetes
Description: eukaryotic LSU rRNA
Rfam family: 5.8S ribosomal RNA (bases 203-356)
Source: RNAcentral